ACACGCGCGCUUCGGCAUGGCGGCACACCGCCCCGGCACGCUCAAGCAGCAGAAUAAAGCUCAUAAAGGCGGGCGGCAUCGGGGUCGGGGAUCUGCACAGCGGGACGGCAAGGGUAAGAAGAUAACGUAGAAGGAAUAAGGGCUAUUUGGCCGUUAUUAACUCUUUUUCCCCAUGCCCAGACUGAGCUUCUGUCUCCCGUCUGGGCUUCACGCGAAAGGCCCUUUCUAAGGUGGGCGGAGAGGAGUCCCUUUUCUUGACCUUGUUGUGGGGCCGAUCACGCCAGCCCCUUCUAAUCUGCCCUUCAGGCCGUCUAGCACUGAAAACCCUAAGCAAGAAGGUGAGAAAAGAACUCAGUAGAGUCGACCAGAGGCAUCGCGCCAGCCAGCUCCGAAAGCAGAAGAAGGAGGCGGUUCUGGCAGAGAAGAGACAGCUGGGUGGCAAGGAUGGCCCUCCUCAUCAGGUACUGGUGGUACCUCUGCACAGCAGAAUUUCCCUGCCAGAGGCCAUGCAGCUGCUUCAAGAUAGGGACACUGGAACAGUACACUUGAAUGAAUUGGGAAACACUCAGAGCUUUA
This 576-nucleotide small RNA is filed under the name Pongo abelii (Sumatran orangutan). RNAcentral describes it as "retained intron". The record is from RNAcentral. Lineage: Eukaryota; Metazoa; Chordata; Mammalia; Primates; Hominidae.